Molecule: long non-coding RNA, 532 nt
Organism: Orcinus orca (killer whale)
Lineage: Eukaryota; Metazoa; Chordata; Mammalia; Artiodactyla; Delphinidae
Exons: 2
Source: RefSeq, a predicted model, not a curated record
ACUGCCUAGGUUAGUCCUGGGGGAUACUAAAGUGAAAUUCAGCGAUGCAGGGACAGGAGUGGCUGUGUCUUACCAGGUGGAUCUCCGUGAGCGACCCUUUGCAGCCCAGUGAUCACCCAGCUCCUCAGAGGAGCCUCAGACCCACCCGGUUCCGGCCCCUCUUCCCGCGCGGCGGCAGUGAGCCACAGCACGGGCGCCAUCUAGUGAUCUCACGGUCAGCAGAAUCAUCCCUCCCUCCCAAAGUGUCCACCUCUUAAUCCCAAAAACCUGUGAAUACGUUACCUUUCAUCCUUGCAUGGCCAAAGAGACUUUACAGAUGUGAUUAAGGUUAAGGACCUUGGGACUGGGGAGAUUCUCCUGGAUUAUCCAGGCAGGCCCAGUCUAAUCACAUUAGCUCUUUAAAAGCAGAUGGAUAACGUGGAAAUAAUUUUGCCAGUGACAUAAGUGUCACAAUGGGGAUAAGAGUCAAAUUUACAGAAAGUGGCUUGUAGCAGAAUAAAAUCACUAUCAACUCUUAAAAGAAAAACAAAAA